RNAcentral lists this ribosomal RNA (275 nucleotides) under uncultured eukaryote. RNAcentral describes it as "partial 18S ribosomal RNA". It matches the Rfam family "Eukaryotic small subunit ribosomal RNA", at positions 26 to 306 of the family's 1831-position model. The record is from RNAcentral.
UUAUGAUAUGCUUGUCUCAAAGAUUAAGCCAUGCAUGUGUAAGUAUAAACCUUUAUACGGUGAAACUGCGAAUGGCUCAUUAAAACAGUCAUAAUUUACUUGAUAGUACCUAUUACUUGGAUAACCCUGGUAAUUCUAGAGCUAAUACAUGCACACACAUCCGACUCACGAAGGAUGGUAUUUAUUAGCCGCAACCAACCGGGCUUGCCCGUUUUGGUGACUCAUAAUAACUUUUCGGAUCGCACGCCUCGCGCGGCGACGUUUCAUUCAAAUUU